UAAGCGGAGGAAAAGAAACUAACAAGGAUUCCUUAGUAGCGGCGAGCGAAGCGGGAUGAGCUCAAAUUUGAAAUCUGGCGUCUUUCAGGCGUCCGAGUUGUAAUCUAUAGAAGCGUUUUCUGUGCUGGACCGUGUCCAAGUCCCUUGGAACAGGGUAUCAAAGAGGGUGACAAUCCCGUACUUGACACGACCACCAGUGCUCUGUGAUACGUUUUCUACGAGUCGAGUUGUUUGGGAAUGCAGCUCAAAAUGGGUGGUAAAUUCCAUCUAAAGCUAAAUAUUGGCGAGAGACCGAUAGCGAACAAGUACCGUGAGGGAAAGAUGAAAAGCACUUUGGAAAGAGAGUUAAACAGUACGUGAAAUUGUUGAAAGGGAAACGAUUGAAGUCAGUCGUGUCUAUUGGUUUCAGCCGGUCCUGCCGGUGUAUUACCUUUAGACGGGUCAACAUCAGUUUUGGACGGUGGAUAAUAGCAGUUUGAAUGUGGCACCUCCGGGUGUGUUAUAGCUUUCUGUUGCAUACACUGUCUGAGACUGAGGACUGCAGCUCGCCGCAAGGCCGGGGUUUCGACCCACGUUACGAGCUUAGGAUGUUGACAUAAUGGCUUUAAACGACCCGUCUUGAAACACG
This 628-nucleotide ribosomal RNA is filed under the name Derxomyces schimicola. RNAcentral describes it as "eukaryotic LSU rRNA". It matches the Rfam family "Eukaryotic large subunit ribosomal RNA", at positions 47 to 663 of the family's 3401-position model. Lineage: Eukaryota; Fungi; Basidiomycota; Tremellomycetes; Tremellales; Bulleribasidiaceae. The record is from RNAcentral.